AGGGUUCGAUUCUGGCUCAGGAUGAACGCUAGCUACAGGCUUAACACAUGCAAGUCGAGGGGCAGCAUGAGAUUAGCUUGCUAAUCUUGAUGGCGACCGGCGCACGGGUGAGUAACGCGUAUCCAACCUUCCCCCUACUCAGGCAUAGCCCGGUGAAAACCGGAUUAACUCCUGAUAGUUUCACUAGAUGGCAUCUGACGGUGAAUAAAGCUCAGCGGUAAGGGAUGGGGAUGCGUCUGAUUAGCUUGUUGGCGGGGUAACGGCCCACCAAGGCGACGAUCAGUAGGGGUUCUGAGAGGAAGGUCCCCCACAUUGGAACUGAGACACGGUCCAAACUCCUACGGGAGGCAGCAGUGAGGAAUAUUGGUCAAUGGGCGCGAGCCUGAACCAGCCGAGUAGCGUGCAGGAAGACGGCCCUAUGGGUUGUAAACUGCUUUUGUGCGGGAAUAAAGUCAGGGACGUGUCCCUGUUUACAUGUACCGCAAGAAUAAGGACCGGCUAAUUCCGUGCCAGCCGCUGC
RNAcentral lists this ribosomal RNA (520 nucleotides) under uncultured bacterium. Its description in RNAcentral is "bacterial SSU rRNA". It matches the Rfam family "Bacterial small subunit ribosomal RNA", at positions 8 to 518 of the family's 1533-position model. The record is from RNAcentral.